ACGAUUUUUGUCGCGAAUGAGAGUCGGUCGGGCGGAGGGAGGAAUCGAGCCGAGGGUCAGGGUCGGGGUGGUGGGGCGGCUUCAUAAAGGCCUGUUGCAGGCCGCAAACCCGAAUAAGAUCCUGCGGGCCCGUGUUUACUGUUCCGAGACUUUUUUCCGGGAAGAAGGUCAGGUUAACGGCCGCCAUUCUGGUUUAGCGAGGAGCAGAGCGCGUGAUGGGCCAUUUUGUUGACGCAACAGAGGAGGCGGUGCUUCAAGGGAGUUGGAAGAUUUGAAGACUCAGAUUUUUCUCUGACUCCAGUACUGCUGAUAUCUUUCCACUGCAGGCUCCAGCAGGAAAUUUUAAAUUUGGAAACAGUGAAACUGUUUCAGAGGAUACUCGAAGGGAAAGAUUUGCAGUCAGGAAACUCAAACCAAACAUCACAUCAGGAUGUGAAGGAAUUUCCAAUUUUUCAUAACCUGAAUACCAUCAGAUUUUGAACAUGGAUAACAAAAGCAUUGUUCACAGUGAAGAGAAACUAUACACAUGUUCUGUGUGUGGACGAGACUUCAGCCGAUCAUCUGAUCUCUCAGAACAUAAAUGUCAUCACACCGGGCAGAAGCCAUGGAAAUUUGGGGACUGUGGGAAGGGAUUUGAUUAUCCAAUUAGGUUGGAAACUCAUUGGCGCAGUCACACUGGGGAGAGGUCAUUCACCUGCCUGAGUGUGGGAAGGGAUUCACUAUCUCAUCCCACCUGCUGAGGCACCAGCGAGUUCACACCAGAGUGAGACCAUUCACCUGCUCCAAGUGUGGGAAGGUAUUCACUCAGUCGUCUAACCUGUUGAAGCACCAGUGAGUUCACACUGGGGAGAGACCAUUCACAUGCUCUCAUUGCGGGACUGGGUUCAGAAAAUCAUCUCAACUCGCUGUACACCAGCGAAUUCACACUGGGGAGAGGCCAUUCACCUGCUUUGAGUGUGGGAAGGGAUUCACUCAGUCAUCCAACCUGCUGAAACACCAGCGAGUUCACACCGGGGAGAAACCUUUUAAAUGCUUAGAGUGUGACAAGUGCUAUAAAAGUUCAGGGGAACUGAUGUCUCAUCAACUUGUUCACACCGAUGAGAGACCAUUCAGGUGCUCUCACUGCAAUGCUGGGUUCAGGAAUUCAUCUCAGCUCACUACACCAACGAAUUCACACUGGGGAGAGACCGUUCACCUGCUUAGAGUGUGGGAAGGGAUUCAUUAAUUCAUCUAACCUAUUGGCUCAUCAGCGAGUUCACACUGAGGACAGGCCUUUUAAAUGUCCAGACUGUGGGAAGUGCUAUAAAAGUUCCCGGGACCUGAUGUCCCAUCAACGUGUUCACACUGACGAGAG
Long non-coding RNA from Carcharodon carcharias (great white shark), 1354 nucleotides. RefSeq lists it as uncharacterized. NCBI's taxonomy places the organism in Eukaryota, Metazoa, Chordata, Chondrichthyes, Lamniformes, Lamnidae. The record is from RefSeq and is a predicted model, not a curated record. The transcript has 3 exons.